CUUGCUGGGUGGAUUAGUGGCGAACGGGUGAGUAACACGUGAGUAACCUGCCCUUAACUCUGGGAUAAGCCUGGGAAACUGGGUCUAAUACCGGAUAGGAGCGUCCACCGCAUGGUGGGUGUUGGAAAGAUUUAUCGGUUUUGGAUGGACUCGCGGCCUAUCAGCUUGUUGGUGAGGUAAUGGCUCACCAAGGCGACGACGGGUAGCCGGCCUGAGAGGGUGACCGGCCACACUGGGACUGAGACACGGCCCAGACUCCUACGGGAGGCAGCAGUGGGGAAUAUUGCACAAUGGGCGCAAGCCUGAUGCAGCGACGCCGCGUGAGGGAUGACGGCCUUCGGGUUGUAAACCUCUUUCAGUAGGGAAGAAGCGAAAGUGACGGUACCUGCAGAAGAAGCACCGGCUAACUACGUGCCAGCAGCCGCGGUAAUACGUAGGGUGCGAGCGUUAUCCGGAAUUAUUGGGCGUAAAGAGCUCGUAGGCGGUUUGUCGCGUCUGUCGUGAAAGUCCGGGGCUUAACCCCGGAUCUGCGGUGGGUACGGGCAGACUAGAGUGCAGUAGGGGAGACUGGAAUUCCUGGUGUAGCGGUGGAAUGCGCAGAUAUCAGGAGGAACACCGAUGGCGA
RNAcentral lists this ribosomal RNA (625 nucleotides) under uncultured Actinomycetes bacterium. RNAcentral's name for it is "bacterial SSU rRNA". It matches the Rfam family "Bacterial small subunit ribosomal RNA", at positions 79 to 718 of the family's 1533-position model. Lineage: Bacteria; Bacillati; Actinomycetota; Actinomycetes. The record is from RNAcentral.